CGGUGGAGCAUGUGGUGCAAUUCGACGCAACGCGAAGAACCUUACCUGGGCUAGACAACGGAGGACCGCUCCAGAGAUGGCUUCCGCCUCGUCAGGUGUGACGAGCGCAACCCCUGCCCUUAGUUGCCAGCGGGAUGUCAAGUCUCAUGGCCCUUAUGUCCAGGCUACAUACGUGGACGGUACAAGGGCUGCGAAGUCGCGAGACGGAGCCUCCCAAAAAGCCGUCCUCAGUUCGGAUCGGAGUGCAACUCGACUCCGUGAAGGUGGAAUCGCUAGUAAUCGGGAUCAGCAUGCCGCGGUGAAUACGUUCUCGGGCCUUGUACACACCGCCGUCACACCAUGGGAGCCAGUUGUACCGGAAGCCGGUGAUCCAACCCGCAAGGGAGGUAACCGUCCAUGUAUGGCUGGUGACUGGGGUGAAGUCGUACAAGGU
This 433-nucleotide ribosomal RNA is filed under the name uncultured delta proteobacterium. Its description in RNAcentral is "bacterial SSU rRNA". It matches the Rfam family "Bacterial small subunit ribosomal RNA", at positions 930 to 1497 of the family's 1533-position model. Lineage: Bacteria; Deltaproteobacteria. The record is from RNAcentral.